Molecule: ribosomal RNA, 253 nt
Filed under: uncultured bacterium
Lineage: Bacteria
Description: partial 16S ribosomal RNA
Rfam family: Bacterial small subunit ribosomal RNA
Source: RNAcentral
GACGAACCGUGCAAACGUUAUUCGGAAUCACUGGGCAUAAAGGGCUCGUAGGCGGCCAACUAAGUCGGACGUGAAAUCCCCAGGCUCAACCUGGGAACUGCGUCUGAUACUGGAUGGCUUGAAUCCGGGAGAGGGAUGCAGAAUUCCAGGUGUAGCGGUGAAAUGCGUAGAUAUCUGGAGGAAUACCGGUGGCGAAGGCGGCAUCCUGGACCGGCAUUGACGCUGAGGAGCGAAAGCCAGGGGAGCAAACGGG